Sipha flava (yellow sugarcane aphid) is the source of this 282-nucleotide long non-coding RNA. RefSeq lists it as uncharacterized. The transcript has 3 exons. The record is from RefSeq and is a predicted model, not a curated record. Lineage: Eukaryota; Metazoa; Arthropoda; Insecta; Hemiptera; Aphididae.
ACGUAAUCGUCUGUCACGUCCAUUUGAAUUUUGAUUGAGUCUCAAUCAUUGAUGUUAUUCUGCAUUCAUCAGCGAAUUUUGCUUAACGUUUUUCGUGUCCUCGUUAUUUUCCGUUGACAACAAUCAAGGAGCACUUAUUUAAAUGGUGAGAAGAAUUUUUAAUCGACGGAGGUCGCAUGAAGUUUUUAAAAAAUUCCUCCAGUCUCGUCUCGUUUGUUGUUCUUAUUCCCGGUGUCGCACUUAUGGCUUGUUUUCAUGUUCUACUGUUUGUCUGGGGAAGGC